This 183-nucleotide ribosomal RNA is filed under the name uncultured Staphylococcus sp. Its description in RNAcentral is "partial 16S ribosomal RNA". It matches the Rfam family "Bacterial small subunit ribosomal RNA", at positions 157 to 334 of the family's 1533-position model. Lineage: Bacteria; Bacillati; Bacillota; Bacilli; Caryophanales; Staphylococcaceae. The record is from RNAcentral.
CCGGAGCUAAUACCGGAUAAUAUAUUGAACCGCAUGGUUCAAUAGUGAAAGACGGUUUUGCUGUCACUUAUAGAUGGAUCCGCGCCGCAUUCGCUAGUUUGUAAGGUAACGGCUUACCAAGGCAACGAUGCGUAGCCGACCUGAGAGGGUGAUCGGCCACACUGGAACCGAGACACGGUCCAG